GACAGAGGAGCCAAGCGUUGUCCGGAUUUACUGGGCGUAAAGCGCACGCAGGCGGCCCGGCGCGUGGGGUGUGAAAGCUGGCGGCUUAACUGCCAGACGCCAUCCCAUACGGCUGGGCUCGAGCCCUGCAGAGGUCCAUGGAAUUGCCGGUGUAGUGGUGAAAUGCGUAGAGAUCGGCAGGAACACCCAGGGGGAAACCAGUGGACUGGGCAGGAGCUGACGCUCAGGUGCGAAAGCGUGGGGAGCGAACCGG
RNAcentral lists this ribosomal RNA (253 nucleotides) under uncultured bacterium. RNAcentral's name for it is "partial 16S ribosomal RNA". It matches the Rfam family "Bacterial small subunit ribosomal RNA", at positions 524 to 776 of the family's 1533-position model. The record is from RNAcentral.